This 460-nucleotide ribosomal RNA is filed under the name uncultured bacterium. Its description in RNAcentral is "partial 16S ribosomal RNA". It matches the Rfam family "Bacterial small subunit ribosomal RNA", at positions 338 to 795 of the family's 1533-position model. The record is from RNAcentral.
CCUACGGGGUGCAGCAGUGAGGAAUAUUGGUCAAUGGACGAGAGUCUGAACCAGCCAAGUAGCGUGAAGGAUGAAUGCCCUAUGGGUUGUAAACUUCUUUUAUAAAGGAAUAAAACGAGGCACGUGUGCCUUUUUCCCUGUACUUUAUGAAUAAGGAUCGGCUAACUCCGUGCCAGCAGCCGCGGUAAUACGGAGGAUCCGAGCGUUAUCCGGAUUUAUUGGGUUUAAAGGGAGCGUAGAUGGGUUGUUAAGUCAGUUGUGAAAGGUUGCGGCUCAACCGUAAAAUUGCAAUUGAUACUGGCAGUCUUGAGUGCAGUUGAGGUAGGCGGAAUUCGUGGUGUAGCGGUGAAAUGCUUAGAUAUCACGAAGAACCCCGAUUGCGAAGGCAGCUUACUAGACUGUGACUGACAUUGAUGCUCGAAAGUGUGGGUAUCAAACAGGAUUAGAUACCCCUGUAGUC